UUUUUUAACAACCUAAGUGAUUGACAACCUAGUGUUUUAUCAGGUGGGGUAUGGACAAGUACACAAUUCGCAUCCUUGCACUAUCCCUCGUGUCUCUACAGCUCGUAUGCUCUCCUACUGUUGUACAAUGUAAGCAUACCAAUCAAUUUUUAUUUCUUCACUUCUCUUGGAAGUCUAUAUGUAGUACAGCUAGUAAGGAGGGUUUUUUUGUUUAAUCUCUUGUGUGUUUAUUUAUUCUACUCUAAAGUAUACAAUUGGAUAACAAUUGAAUAUUUGUUUGUUAUUCCAUAGGCCGAAUCAUGGUUGACAUGGAUAUCGAGAAGAUCAAUUUACCAAACGGACUAUGCGCUCACGAGAGUUGGAUUCAUUGCGGCGCUCAUGGACUAUGCGACUGUUGUUUGGUAGAUUCGAUCUGCUAGUCGACCAUGGAUGAGUGCACGAGGGAGUGUAAAAAAUCCUCGUCUUCAAAAGACAUACUACGGGCCAGGACAUCCCCUCCUCCUUUACCCGCUCCUUAAUUUUCCAGCCUAGUCAAAUUGCUUACAUGCAUAUUUACUGUCCUGGGAAAUGAAAAUAAUGCCUAGUAUAUGUGAGGAAAUACAGUUGUGCAAUAAGAUCGAGUAAUACUCUAGCAAUUGUUGUUGAGUAUUUGGUUUGGCAAAUUGCAUCUAACCUUUUGCCAAUUAUUGCGGGCUAAGUUCUAGUAAUAAUGCAACCUAGGUACAAUGUGAG
This 732-nucleotide long non-coding RNA is filed under the name Triticum aestivum (bread wheat). RNAcentral describes it as "long non-coding RNA (TAES_LNC011965)". The record is from RNAcentral. Lineage: Eukaryota; Viridiplantae; Streptophyta; Magnoliopsida; Poales; Poaceae.